AGAGUUUGAUCAUGGCUCAGGAUGAACGCUGGCGGCGUGCUUAACACAUGCAAGUCGAACGAACCUUCGGGUUAGUGGCGGACGGGUGAGUAACGCGUGAGAAUCUGCCCUCAGGAGGGGGAUAACGGCUGGAAACGGCCGCUAAUACCCCAUAUGCCGAGAGGUGAAAUGAAUUUCGCCUGAGGAUGAGCUCGCGUCUGAUUAGCUAGUUGGUAGGGUAAAGGCCUACCAAGGCUUCGAUCAGUAGCUGGUCUGAGAGGAUGAUCAGCCACACUGGGACUGAGACACGGCCCAGACUCCUACGGGAGGCAGCAGUGGGGAAUUUUCCGCAAUGGGCGAAAGCCUGACGGAGCAACGCCGCGUGAGGGAUGAAGGCCUCUGGGCUGUAAACCUCUUUUAUCAAGGAAGAAGAUCUGACGGUACUUGAUGAAUAAGCCACGGCUAAUUCCGUGCCAGCAGCCGCGGUAAUACGGGAGUGGCAAGCGUUAUCCGGAAUUAUUGGGCGUAAAGCGUCCGCAGGCGGUCUUACAAGUCUGUCGUUAAAGCGUGGAGCUUAACUCCAUUUCAGCGAUGGAAACUGUAAGACUAGAGUGUGGUAGGGGCAGAGGGAAUUCCCGGUGUAGCGGUGAAAUGCGUAGAUAUCGGGAAGAACACCAGUGGCGAAGGCGCUCUGCUGGGCCAUAACUGACGCUCAUGGACGAAAGCCAGGGGAGCGAAAGGGAUUAGAUACCCCUGUAGUCCUGGCCGUAAACGAUGAACACUAGGUGUCGGGGGAAUCGACCCCCUCGGUGUCGUAGCCAACGCGUUAAGUGUUCCGCCUGGGGAGUACGCACGCAAGUGUGAAACUCAAAGGAAUUGACGGGGGCCCGCACAAGCGGUGGAGUAUGUGGUUUAAUUCGAUGCAACGCGAAGAACCUUACCAGGGUUUGACAUCCUGCGAAUCCCUUGGAAACGAGGGAGUGCCUUCGGGAACGCAGUGACAGGUGGUGCAUGGCUGUCGUCAGCUCGUGUCGUGAGAUGUUGGGUUAAGUCCCGCAACGAGCGCAACCCACGUCUUUAGUUGCCAGCAUUUAGUUGGGCACUCUAGAGAGGCUGCCGGUGAUAAACCGGAGGAAGGUGUGGAUGACGUCAAGUCAUCAUGCCCCUUACAUCCUGGGCUACACACGUACUACAAUGCUACGGACAAAGGGCAGCAAACUCGCGAGAGCUAGCAAAUCCCAUAAACCGUGGCUCAGUUCAGAUCGUAGGCUGCAACUCGCCUACGUGAAGGAGGAAUCGCUAGUAAUCGCAGAUCAGCAUUGCUGCGGUGAAUACGUUCCCGGGUCUUGUACACACCGCCCGUCACACCAUGGGAGUGUAUUGCACCAGAAGCAGGUAGCCUGACUCGCAAGAGGGGGCGCCUACCACGGUGUGGUCCAUGACUGGGGUGAAGUCGUAACAAGGUAGCCGUACGGGAACGUGCGGCUGGAUCACCUCCUU
This 1479-nucleotide ribosomal RNA is filed under the name uncultured bacterium. RNAcentral describes it as "16S ribosomal RNA". It matches the Rfam family "Bacterial small subunit ribosomal RNA". The record is from RNAcentral.